This is a small nucleolar RNA of Calidris pygmaea (Spoon-billed sandpiper), 88 nucleotides long. The record is from Ensembl. NCBI's taxonomy places the organism in Eukaryota, Metazoa, Chordata, Aves, Charadriiformes, Scolopacidae.
CGCAGUGGGGUGAACUGUCUGCUUUUAACUUUGACUGGUUACAUGAUGAAUAAAACAAAAAAUCACCAUCUUUCGGCUGACAGUUGUG